AUUUAAACCAUAAUUCAGCCAGUAAAUUAAAGGGGAAGACUCAGUUUUAGGGAUUAGAUUUUUUUUUUUGUUUGGUUUAGCUUUCUUUCAAAACUUAAAGGUUUAUUUCUAAAAGUUUUCCCCAGAGUCCAGGUACAGUGGCUCAUGCCUGUAAUCCCAGCACUUUGGGAGGCUGAGGUGGGAGGAUUGCUUGAGGCUAGGAGUUUGAGACCAGCCUGGCAACAUGGCAAGACCCCAUGUCUACAAAAAUUUUAAAACUUAGCCAGGCAUGGUCGUGCACCUGUAGUCCCAGCUACUCAGUAGGCUGAGAUGAGAGUGUUGCCUGAGGCUGCAGUGAGGCCUGAUCAUGCUACUGCACUCAAGCCUGGGUGACAAGAGUAAGAUCCUGUCUCAAAAAGAAACUUCUGGGUAGUUCACGAGACUUGCCGAAGGCUUCCUCUUUCAUCUGGGCCACCAACAUGCCAUCCAGAAUGAGGAAGACCCAGAAACUUCGGGGCCACGUGAGCCACGGCUACGGCCCCAUUGACAAGCACCGGAAGCACCCCAGAGGCCGAGGUAAUGCUAGUGGUAUGCAUCACCACAGGAUCAACUUUGACAAAUACCACCCAGGUUACUUUAGGAAAGUUGGCAUGAGGUACCACUUAAAGAGGAACCAGAGCUUCUGCCCACCUGUCAUCCGUGACAGAUUGUGGACCUUGAUUAGUGAAUGCUGCUAAAAACAAGACUGGGGCUGCUCCCAUAACUGAUGUGGUGUGAUUGGGCUACUACAAAGUUCUGGGCAAGGGAAAGCUCCCAAAGUAACCUGUCAUCGUGAAGGCCAAAUUCUUCAGCCGAAGAGCUGAGGAGAUUAAGGGUGUCGGGGGGAGCUGUGUCCUGGUGGUUUGAAACCACAUAGAGGGAGGUUCAUUAAAUGUUAACUACUUCAAAACAAAACAAAAAACAAAACAAAACAAAAAACCUCCCCCAGGAGAAGAAUUCUAAUUUUAUCAAGCUGAAUUAAAAUUUGUCUUUUUUUUAAAAACUUACUGUGUCAAAAGAGGCAUUAUGUUGCUUGUGUGAUAGUAAAUAGUGUCCCUACAAAUUUAAUGUACCUGAAAUGUCACAAUGUGACCUUACAGUAGCCAUCCCAACCCCCACCCUUAUCUGUGGUGGAUACAUUUGCAAGAUCCCCAGUGGAUGCCUGAAACAGCGGAUAGUACUGAACCUUAUAUCUAUAUACUGUUUGUUUUCCUAUGCAUACAUACCCCUAUGAUAAAGUUUAUGAAUUUGGCACUUAAAAAUUAACAGCAGAACUAAUAAGAUGGAAGAGCUGUAACAAUAUACUCUAAUAAAAUAAUUUAAAACA
Sapajus apella (tufted capuchin) is the source of this 1345-nucleotide RNA transcript. It is a transcript of the gene named 60S ribosomal protein L27a pseudogene, with no coding region annotated. Lineage: Eukaryota; Metazoa; Chordata; Mammalia; Primates; Cebidae. The transcript has a single exon. The record is from RefSeq and is a predicted model, not a curated record.